Molecule: ribosomal RNA, 497 nt
Filed under: uncultured bacterium
Lineage: Bacteria
Description: partial 16S ribosomal RNA
Rfam family: Bacterial small subunit ribosomal RNA
Source: RNAcentral
GAUGAACGCUGGCGGCGUGCCUAAUACAUGCAAGUCGAGCGAACAGAUGAGGAGCUUGCUCCUCUGACGUUAGCGGCGGACGGGUGAGUAACACGUGGAUAACCUACCUAUAAGACUGGGAUAACUUCGGGAAACCGGAGCUAAUACCGGAUAAUAUAUUGAACCGCAUGGUUCAAUAGUGAAAGACGGUUUUGCUGUCACUUAUAGAUGGAUCCGCGCCGCAUUAGCUAGUUGGUAAGGUAACGGCUUACCAAGGCAACGAUGCGUAGCCGACCUGAGAGGGUGAUCGGCCACACUGGAACUGAGACACGGUCCAGACUCCUACGGCAGGCAGCAGUAGGGAAUCUGCCGCAGUGGGCGAAAGCCUGACGGAGCAACGCCGCGUGGGUGAUGAAGGUCUUCGGAUCGUAGCACUGUGUUAUUAGGAAAGAACAAAUGUGUGGGUAACUAUGCACGUGUUGACGGUGCCUAAUCAGAAAGAACCGGCUAACUACGUG